GACCCAACAAGUGCACAAUCGCACAUCAACAUAGUUCUAUAGAUUGGAUGAGAAACACAAGUUUUAGCUGAUCACAGAUAAUUUCAAUGAGAAACGUAGCUUCUUGUGCCAUCCUUCUAUCCUCAGCUUCUUCUGAGUUCGAAAAGAUAGUUUCAAUUGAAGCUGAAAUAGUAGAAGUCAGGGCUAUAUAAAAGCUGCUAGUUAAUUUUAUAGAUCAUAAUAUGCUAACUUGUAUGAAUAAGAAUAACAGAGAAACGAGACUUGGUUCCUUUAUAGCUAUUCAAUAUUAGGCAUGAAGAGGACGUUAGUUGAAAUAAUUUUCUAUCAGUUCAACAUUCCAAUAAAAUAGGUGUCCAGAAAAAGUUUAAACAGAUCUUUUAAUUGUUUGGCAAAGUUGGCCACACUGCAUGGACACUACACAAUUUAAUACAGUAGCACAUAAAAAAGUAACGCAUAUAUACUUGCCAUGAUAUAUCUAGCUGAGAGUACCCCAUAUAGAUCCUAGCACUUAGCUAGCUAGCUUGUAAAACUGGCAUAACGCAGCAGCAUGGAGGCAAGUUUCUUUAUAUGUGGCAGCUUGAUAAAAAGCCUCAGAGAAUAUCUUGAUAGAAUAACAAAGGUAAUCAGCUAUACAGUUUUUAUCCAUUUUUUUACUUUAAGUGAUAUAACGCUCUACAGUUAGCUCAAGUAACAUGAAGUUUGAACAAAAAAAAUACCGAGUUAAGCAACCAAAAUAAACUAUGUGUCACCACAAAUAAAAAAUGCAAAUCACGCAAAAGAAAAGGACUCUAUUAGGCUCUGCUUGAUGUAUUAACAUUGAACUCUAGCAUAUGUUACUGCAUCACAGGUUACAAAAGCUACAUAAUAAUCCAUCAUUUGUUCUGAACCACAUGCCAGAUUUAGGAUAUAAAAAUAAGAGAUGCAUCACACAGCCAGAAUAAUCCAUCAAAAGCUACUUCCCUGUACUUAGUACUGAUGUUGCCACAACAUGCCUUUUAUGUCUGUGAAGCCAUCCCUGUUGAAAAAACCAUAACAAAACUGCAUUAGUAGCCGCAUUACAGUCAAUAGCAUCACUAGCUGCAAUACAUGAUGAGACAACAGGGAUACAUACAUACCAACAGAAAUACCACACACAUGCUCAUUACAAGACUGAAUAUUUACACUUUGUUACAUUGUGUGGAAAAUCUGCUCUGUGCAGGUAGAAGAACAGAUCAUAGUAUGUGAAAAAAGUGAACCUUUACACAUUGUUUUAACUCAAUAUAUAUAUNCCUGCACGGGCUAGUUUCAUUUUCUAUAGCUGGUAAACUAUACUUGUUUAAAACUUAUCUCCACUUGAACAUCUCACUUUUAAAAUCAGUAUUUAAAAUAAAGAGAUCAUCAAAAUAAUUCCAGACUAAAAACAUUAGUUACGUGUGUGCAUGGUUUUGAACAAUGUUACAACCGGGGGACUUUUGAAUAGGUUCUAUAGUUCUCAUGUUUUUAUAAUUUCCUCAUUUGAUGAUUAAAUGUGAUUGGUUGAUAAUAUAAUUGUCAUAGACUAUAGCUUCAAGUAGGUUGUAAGAUAAUAUAUCAGGCAUUAAAUUCAAGAAAUAAACUUAGUGGAGUUUAUGCACACACAUUUUGCAAGCUAGUCAGACUAACUU
RNAcentral lists this long non-coding RNA (1643 nucleotides) under Hordeum vulgare. Its description in RNAcentral is "long non-coding RNA (HVUL_LNC004746)". The record is from RNAcentral. Lineage: Eukaryota; Viridiplantae; Streptophyta; Magnoliopsida; Poales; Poaceae.